This 200-nucleotide ribosomal RNA is filed under the name uncultured bacterium. Its description in RNAcentral is "partial 16S ribosomal RNA". It matches the Rfam family "Bacterial small subunit ribosomal RNA", at positions 8 to 197 of the family's 1533-position model. The record is from RNAcentral.
AGAGUUUGAUCAUGGCUCAGGACGAACGCUGGCGGCGUGCCUAACACAUGCAAGUCGAACGAGAUCCAUUCGGUAGCAAUACCGGAGAAGAUCUAGUGGCGAACGGGUGAGUAGCACGUGAGCAACCUGCCCCGAAGACCGGGACAACACCGGGAAACCGGUGCUAAUACCGGAUACCCCCACCGGGCUGCAUGACCUGG